AUGGGGAGACAACGCUCAUCGCCGUCGAUGAGGAAGAAAGUUCAGAGGAAGCAUGUUAUGGAGCUGCUGCGUAUCACCGCAAGGCCUCCGCAAGAACGCUGGAGCAUCAGGGAAAGCGUGAACUUCAAGAUUGCCCUAGGAAGGUUUGGUGAGGACUGGCCAAGAGUUGCACAGUUCGUCAGCACAAAGACUACCCACCAGAUCAGUGUCUAUGCUGAAGAAUAUUAUCUUAAGCAUCCGCGGACACAAUCCAGGUGA
RNAcentral lists this ribosomal RNA (258 nucleotides) under Triticum aestivum (bread wheat). RNAcentral's name for it is "partial small subunit ribosomal RNA". The record is from RNAcentral. Lineage: Eukaryota; Viridiplantae; Streptophyta; Magnoliopsida; Poales; Poaceae.